UACGGAGGGUGCAAGCGUUAUCCGGAUUCACUGGGGUUAAAGGGCGCGCAGGCGGAUUUGUAAGUCAGUGGUGAAAGGCUUAAGCUUAACUUGGGAACUGCCAUUGAUACUAUAAGUCUUGAAUGUUGUUGAGGUUUGCGGAAUGGGUCAUGUAGCGGUGGAAUGCAUAGAUAUGACCCGGAACACCUAUUGCGAAGGCAGCAGGCUAAACAAAUAUUGACGCUGAGGCUCGAAAGCGUGGGGAUCAAACAGG
Molecule: ribosomal RNA, 253 nt
Filed under: uncultured bacterium
Lineage: Bacteria
Description: partial 16S ribosomal RNA
Rfam family: Bacterial small subunit ribosomal RNA
Source: RNAcentral